GAUGAACGCUGGCGGCGUGCCUAAUACAUGCAAGUCGAGCGAACGGACGAGAAGCUUGCUUCUCUGCUGUUAGCGGCGGACGGGUGAGUAACACGUGGAUAACCUUCCUAUAAGACUGGGAUAACUUCGGGAAACCGGAGCUACUACUGGAUAAUAUUUUGAACCGCAUGGUUCAAAAGUGAAAGACGGUCUUGCUGUCACUUAUAGAUGGAUCCGCGCUGCAUUGGCUAGUUGGUAAGGUAACGGCUUACCAAGGCAACGAUGCAUAGCCGACCUGAGAGGGUGACCGGCCACACUGGAACUGAGCCACGGUCCGACCUCCUACGGGAGGCAGCAGUAGGGAAUCUUCCGCAAUGGGCGAAAGCCUGACGGAGCAACGCCGCGUGAGGGAUGAAGGUCUUCGGAUCUUAAAACUCUGUUAUUAGGGAAGAACAUAUGUGUAAGUAACUGUGCACAUCUUGACGGUACCUAAUCAGAAAGCCACGGCUAACUACGUG
RNAcentral lists this ribosomal RNA (497 nucleotides) under uncultured bacterium. RNAcentral's name for it is "partial 16S ribosomal RNA". It matches the Rfam family "Bacterial small subunit ribosomal RNA", at positions 28 to 507 of the family's 1533-position model. The record is from RNAcentral.